UACGUAGGGUGCAAGCGUUGUCCGGAAUUAUUGGGCGUAAAGAGCUCGUAGGCGGUUUGUCGCGUCUGCUGUGAAAACUCGGGGCUUAACUCCGGGCCUGCAGUGGGUACGGGCAGACUAGAGUGCGGUAGGGGAGACUGGAAUUCCUGGUGUAGCGGUGAAAUGCGCAGAUAUCAGGAGGAACACCGGUGGCGAAGGCGGAUCUCUGGGCCUUACCUGACGCUCAGGCGCGAAAGCUAGGGGAGCGAACAGG
RNAcentral lists this ribosomal RNA (253 nucleotides) under uncultured bacterium. RNAcentral describes it as "partial 16S ribosomal RNA". It matches the Rfam family "Bacterial small subunit ribosomal RNA", at positions 524 to 776 of the family's 1533-position model. The record is from RNAcentral.